This 154-nucleotide ribosomal RNA is filed under the name uncultured bacterium. RNAcentral's name for it is "partial 16S ribosomal RNA". It matches the Rfam family "Bacterial small subunit ribosomal RNA", at positions 355 to 507 of the family's 1533-position model. The record is from RNAcentral.
UCGGGAAUAUUGGUCAAUGGGUGCGAGCCUGAACCAGCCAUGCCGCGUGCAGGAAGAAGGCCUUCUGGGUUGUAAACUGCUUUUACCAGGGGAUAAAAACGUUUUGCGAAACGGAUUGAAGGUACCUGGGGAAUAAGCCACGGCUAACUACGUG